AGUAACAAAACAGCAGCUUGUACUGUCAGCCUGCCAGUGUCCCCAGAGGCCAUUCCUGGGGGAACACUCGGUAAGCUGACAGUACAAGCUGCUGUUUUGUUACU
Molecule: non-coding RNA, 104 nt
Organism: Pelobates cultripes (western spadefoot toad)
Lineage: Eukaryota; Metazoa; Chordata; Amphibia; Anura; Pelobatidae
Source: the annotation of a GenBank genome assembly